Molecule: ribosomal RNA, 446 nt
Filed under: uncultured bacterium
Lineage: Bacteria
Description: partial 16S ribosomal RNA
Rfam family: Bacterial small subunit ribosomal RNA
Source: RNAcentral
CCUACGGGGUGCAGCAGUCGAGAAUCAUUCACAAUGGGGGAAACCCUGAUGGUGCGACGCCGCGUGGGGGAAUGAAGGUCUUCGGAUUUUCAACCCCUGUCAUGUGGGAGCAAAUUAAAAAGAUAGUACCACAAGAGGAAGAGACGGCUAACUCUGUGCCAGCAGCCGCGGUAAUACAGAGGUCUCAAGCGUUGUUCGGAAUCACUGGGCGUAAAGCGUGCGUAGGCUGUUUCGUAGGUCGUUGGUGAAAGGCGCGGGCUCAACCCGCGGACGGCACAUGAUACUGCGAGACUAGAGUAAGGGAGGGGGAACCGGAAUUCUCGGUGUAGCAGUGAAAUGCGUAGAUAUCGAGAGGAACACUCGUGGCGAAGGCGGGUUCCUGGACAUUAACUGACGCUGAGGCACGAAGGCCAGGGGAGCGAAAGGGAUUAGAUACCCCAGUAGUC